GAUCACAUCAUUCCUGGUAAGCCACAGUGCCCAGCAUAAGGCCGCCGCUCCCACGAGAGUAAGGCCUUCAUGUGUUUCCGAUGAAAUGAAAUUGACCGCACGAGAAUUGGGAAUCACCACCGUGUACCCCGGCCACAGCCCGUCUGUCGAUACCAACUGCCAGCGUGAUUGCCGACGUGAGGUUCACUAUGCCUGACUUGGGAGAGAAGAACGAGAGGUAGGAGGAGAGUUCAGUUUACAUUAUUCUUCAGACGUACUAGAAGAGUGUUGUUUUUCAGUUUUACAGCACAAAGCUUAUAAUUAAGCUCCACACACACACGCUAGUACGCGACGCACGAUAGCUUUAACUUAACCCACACUUGCGCCACCUUAUUUACGCUCGUCCUCAUCGGGUGGCGCACUCCUGCAUUCUUCCCCAGGCGUGACAUAGUUUUCUACUUUGCGAGGCACGCCAGCACGAUCCAAUACACGCUCACCGCCAAAAUGCCGAGCAAACAUAUCAGCAGCAGAACGUCCUGCAGCAGUUGAGCUCAACGGAUCAGCUCAGUUCAGUCUAGCUAGCAGCGAUGCCAGCAUGCAAGCAAGCACGUACACGUUCAAUCUCAAGUCACCGGGAUAGUUUACGGGCAAAGGAAGGAAAUUAAAUAGUAGCAACAUCGAUAUAUCUUGACAGAAAUAAGUUUGAAUCACAUUACGUACCGCAGCUCCACACGCUGGCGGCGCCGCCUCUGCUGGUGGAUUGACGACCACAUUCGCUGGUGGAUUGACGACCACAUUCACCACCACCUGCAACAGUUGAUAGAAAACUGGAAUUAGUUCGAAUCGGAACGCCGGAGGAAUGGCAAGGUUGAUUUGUGAACCACAUACCGCAACCGCCGGAGGAUUGGCAAGGUUGUUGGCUGCUGCUGCCGCCGGAGGAUUGCCAACCUUGUUGGCUGCUGCUGCCGCCGGAGCUUUGUCCAUGGCGUCCGCGCGUGCAGAGAGAGAGAUAGAGAUAGNNN
Molecule: long non-coding RNA, 1001 nt
Filed under: Triticum aestivum (bread wheat)
Lineage: Eukaryota; Viridiplantae; Streptophyta; Magnoliopsida; Poales; Poaceae
Description: long non-coding RNA (TAES_LNC017547)
Source: RNAcentral